Molecule: long non-coding RNA, 1832 nt
Organism: Nerophis ophidion (straightnose pipefish)
Lineage: Eukaryota; Metazoa; Chordata; Actinopteri; Syngnathiformes; Syngnathidae
Exons: 5
Source: RefSeq, a predicted model, not a curated record
GCCUUGCCUGUACCGGAAGUAGCAGACGAUGUGCGCGUGACGUCACGGGUUGUGGAGCUCCUCACAUUGUUUACAAUCAUGGCCACCAGCAGCUAGAGCGAUUCGGACCAAGAAAGCGACGAUUUCCCCAUUAAUUUGAGCGAGGAUGAAAGAUUCGUGGAUGAGGAAAGUGAGAGGGAAGGACUAGAAAAAAUAAAAAUAAAAGACGAAGGCAGUGAGAGUGAUUCAGAUGUUAUUAGACACAUUUACUAGAAUAAUUCUGGAAAAUCCCUUAUCUGCUUAUUGUGUUACCAGUGUUUUAGUGAGAUUAUAUGGUCGUACCUGAAAGUCGGAGGGGUGUGGAACCGCCAGUGUCUCUGAGGGAAGCCAUGUUUCUCGACGAGGCGACGCAAAGGCAGUCGUUGGGGCUGGGCUGAGAUAUUUUUUUUCCCCCCUCCUCCACGGUGGAAGCAUCCCACGUUCGGGGGUGGCUGGUCGGAGGAGGCAAGAGAGUCCGCAGCUGCCUCUUUGACAGGUGCACGAGGAACAACGCAAGGUCUUCGGUCAUGUCUAUGGUGGAAAAGGCUGCGAUGAGGUGGUGACUUGUCCAGGGUGUACCCCGCCUUCCGCCCGAUCGUAGCUGAGAUAGGCGCCAGCGGCCCCCGCUACCCCUAAAGGGAAUAAGCGGUAGAAAAUGGAUGGAUGGAUGGUGGAAAAGGGAGAUGAGGUGGCGACUUUUCCAGGGUGUCGCUUGCCUUCCCCCCGAUUGUAGCUGAGAUAGGCACCAGCGCCCCCCGUGACCCCAAAGGAAAUAAGCUGUAGAAAAUGGAUGGAUGGAAAUUUUGCACAGUCCCCUGUGAUGGUCCUUCUCGCUGCCAUCUUUCUACAGAUAGGAAAAAGAGGGACUUUUAAAACCAAAAGAACCAAGGACAGACGCCUGUACACAAAAAAAGUGAGAUUAUAUGGUACCUGAAAGUUGGAGGGGGUGUGGCCACGGGUGUGGAGGACGCAAGCUCCGCUCAUAACUACGUGUGUGGCCCUUAUGAUGACCUUGUUGUGCAAAAGCCACCCGGACUAAAAAUCCUUGGACUCGACCCCGCCUUCAUGGAGACUUAACCAUGACCACGUUUGUCCGGACCAGAUGGACUUUGUUUAGCAAGAACUAUAGGAAGAACGAAGAAUUAUUAAAAAAACAGUAAUGGCAAUGAAUACAUCUGAAGUUGAUCUAUAGAUAUUUAGGUGUAAAAGGUAAAUAAAAACAUCAAUGUAUGACUUAUAUUUUAAAUAUUUUAAUGAUCUUUUUGCGUCCGUGGGACCUUGAAUAUUCACCAACAUUGAGGGCAGCCCUAAGAGUUACAAUAAAUAUCGUGUUGGUUUUGAAAAUGAAAAAUAUCACAAUUUUUUUCAAUGUGUGGCCCUUCUGAAGGCCUUGUUGUGCAAAAGCCACCCGGACUAAAAUUCCUUGGACUCACCCCCACCUCCAUGAAGACUGGACCAUGACCAUGUUUGUAUGGACCAGAUGGACUUUGUUUUUCACGGACUAUAGGAAAAACGAAGAAUUGUUGACGGUAGUAGCACGCUGAUGUUCAGUUGAGACCGACGCUGUAAUUUCCAUCUGUGACCUUCUUUGAAUGAAUGGACAUGGCCUCGGACUCUUGAAGGACGCGGGUAGAAUCUAACAAAAUAAAGCACUGCAAUCCACCACAAAGCAAUAUUUGUGUCAUUUAAAACUGAGUAUUUACCUUCGGAAAGACCAAAUUUGGGGUUUGUGGUCAUAAAUGUGUGACUGAAAACUGACUAUUUAGCUUUGGAAAGACCAAAUUCGGGGUUUGUGGUUAUAAAUGUGACUGAAA